UCACUUAUUUUUUGGGCUUAUGUAUGAUCGUUUAUUUUAAGCUUAAGGUUUAGGAUUAUAGGUUUAUUAUUGACUGUAAAAAUAGAUAUAUAUUUGGUUGAUAAUUAAGUUAAUUUGACCUACAAUAUUUUGAAUUAUGGAUUAUUAGUUAGUAAUAAUAUGAAAUUGUAAAAGACAGUAAGAAAGUUUUUAUGUCUUUCUGAAGAGUAUUUAGAGAUGGUACAAAUCAUCCAUCAAUUGUCCACAGGGAAC
Molecule: ribosomal RNA, 252 nt
Filed under: Angiostrongylus malaysiensis
Lineage: Eukaryota; Metazoa; Nematoda; Chromadorea; Rhabditida; Metastrongylidae
Description: partial small subunit ribosomal RNA
Source: RNAcentral